AUACAGCUGACGAGUCCUAAAUAGGACGAAAUGCGCGUCCUGGAU
This 45-nucleotide non-coding RNA is filed under the name Schistosoma mansoni. Lineage: Eukaryota; Metazoa; Platyhelminthes; Trematoda; Strigeidida; Schistosomatidae. The record is from RNAcentral.